RNAcentral lists this small RNA (110 nucleotides) under Arabidopsis thaliana (thale cress). RNAcentral describes it as "ATSL120170". Lineage: Eukaryota; Viridiplantae; Streptophyta; Magnoliopsida; Brassicales; Brassicaceae. The record is from RNAcentral.
UCAGAGUGGUGCAUGACAUUCUCGUUCAUCACUGCCUUUUCUAUACUAAUCAAAAACAAAACUCAUCAAAAAAAUAGCCUCAGAAUUGCAGAAGUAUCAUCAAUGUUAAU